CAGGCCUAACACAUGCAAGUCGAACGGCUCUUCGGAGCAGUGGCGGACGGGUGAGUAACGCGUGGGAACGUGCCCUUUGGUUCGGAACAACACAGGGAAACUUGUGCUAAUACCGGAUGAGCCCUUCGGGGGAAAGAUUUAUCGCCAUUGGAGCGGCCCGCGUUGGAUUAGGUAGUUGGUGGGGUAAAGGCCCACCAAGCCGACGAUCCAUAGCUGGUCUGAGAGGAUGAUCAGCCACACUGGGACUGAGACACGGCCCAGACUCCUACGGGAGGCAGCAGUGGGGAAUCUUGCGCAAUGGGCGAGAGCCUGACGCAGCCAUGCCGCGUGAAUGAUGAAGGUCUUAGGAUUGUAAAAUUCUUUCACCGGGGAAGAUAAUGACGGUACCCGGAGAAGAAGCCCCGGCUAACUUCGUGCCAGCAGCCGCGGUAAUACGAAGGGGGCUAGCGUUGCUCGGAAUUACUGGGCGUAAAGGGCGCGUAGGCGGACAGUUUAGUCAGAGGUAAAAGCCCAGGGCUCAACCUUGGAACUGCCUUUGAUACUGGCUGUCUUGAGUUCGGGAGAGGUGAGUGGAAUGCCGAGUGUAGAGGUGAAAUUCGUAGAUAUUCGGCGGAACACCAGUGGCGAAGGCGACUCACUGGCCCGAUACUGACGCUGAGGCGCGAAAGCGUGGGGAGCAAACAGG
This 685-nucleotide ribosomal RNA is filed under the name uncultured Alphaproteobacteria bacterium. RNAcentral describes it as "bacterial SSU rRNA". It matches the Rfam family "Bacterial small subunit ribosomal RNA", at positions 43 to 776 of the family's 1533-position model. Lineage: Bacteria; Pseudomonadati; Pseudomonadota; Alphaproteobacteria. The record is from RNAcentral.